UGUUCAUUAAGCAGCACAUAGACUAAAUUGGAAAGACAUAGAGAAAAGAUUAGUCUGGUCCUGCACAAGGAUGACAUGUACAUUUUUUAAGCAUCCUAUGCUUUC
Molecule: small nuclear RNA, 105 nt
Organism: Psammomys obesus (fat sand rat)
Lineage: Eukaryota; Metazoa; Chordata; Mammalia; Rodentia; Muridae
Source: RefSeq, a predicted model, not a curated record